GACGAACGCUGGCGGCGUGCUUAACACAUGCAAGUCGAACGGUAAGGCCCUUCGGGGUACACGAGUGGCGAACGGGUGAGUAACACGUGAGUAACCUGCCCUUCACUCUGGGAUAACAGUUGGAAACGGCUGCUAAUACCGGAUAUUCAGCUCCUGUCGCAUGGUGGGGGUUGGAAAGUUUUGGUGGUGGAGGAUGGGCUCGCGUCCUAUCAGCUUGUUGGUGGGGUGAUGGCCUACCAAGGCGUCGACGGGUAGCCGGCCUGAGAGGGCGACCGGCCACAUUGGGACUGAGAUACGGCCCAAACUCCUACGGGAGGCAGCAGUGGGGAAUAUUGCACAAUGGGCGGAAGCCUGAUGCAGCAACGCCGCGUGCGGGAUGACGGCCUUCGGGUUGUAAACCGCUUUCAGCAGGGACGAAGCGCAAGUGACGGUACCUGCAGAAGAAGCACCGGCUAACUACGUG
This 463-nucleotide ribosomal RNA is filed under the name uncultured bacterium. Its description in RNAcentral is "partial 16S ribosomal RNA". It matches the Rfam family "Bacterial small subunit ribosomal RNA", at positions 28 to 507 of the family's 1533-position model. The record is from RNAcentral.